GAUGAACGCUGGCGGCAUGCCUAAGACAUGCAAGUCGAACGAGGUGGCCCAAUGAAGUUGGAGUGCUUGCACAAAGAUGAAUUUGGAUUCUCCACCUAGUGGCAAACGGGUGAGUAACACGUGGGUUACCUACCUCUAAGCUGGGGAUAACAAUUGGAAACGGUUGAUAAUACCGAAUGUGCUCUACGGAGUAAAGAAGCCUUUAAAGCUUCACUUAGAGAUGGGCCUGCGGCGUAUUAGUUAGUUGGUGGGGUAAUGGCCUACCAAGACGACGAUGCGUAGCCGAACUGAGAGGUUGAUCGGCCACACUGGGACUGAGACACGGCCCAG
This 330-nucleotide ribosomal RNA is filed under the name uncultured bacterium. Its description in RNAcentral is "bacterial SSU rRNA". It matches the Rfam family "Bacterial small subunit ribosomal RNA", at positions 28 to 334 of the family's 1533-position model. The record is from RNAcentral.